UGGGGGAGCACCGGAUCCUGGGCUGUGUCCCCCGUGCCCUAGGCUCUGGGGCCUGCACUGCUGGAAUCGCGCUCCCGGGGCGCACAGCCCCCU
RNAcentral lists this microRNA precursor (93 nucleotides) under Canis lupus dingo (dingo). Its description in RNAcentral is "mir-8799 microRNA precursor family". It matches the Rfam family "mir-8799 microRNA precursor family". Lineage: Eukaryota; Metazoa; Chordata; Mammalia; Carnivora; Canidae. The record is from Rfam by way of RNAcentral.